This 569-nucleotide ribosomal RNA is filed under the name uncultured bacterium. RNAcentral describes it as "bacterial SSU rRNA". It matches the Rfam family "Bacterial small subunit ribosomal RNA", at positions 69 to 635 of the family's 1533-position model. The record is from RNAcentral.
GUAACAGAACUAGCUUGCUAGUUGCUGACGAGUGGCGGACGGGUGAGUAAUACUUAGGGAUCUGCCUCUGUGUGGGGGAUAACUAUUGGAAACGAUAGCUAAUACCGCAUAACGUCUACGGACCAAAGAGGGCUUCGGCUCUCGCGCAGAGAGGAACCUAAGCGAGAUUAGCUUGUUGGUGGGGUAAAGGCUCACCAAGGCGACGAUCUCUAGCUGUUCUGAGAGGAAGAUCAGCCACACUGGAACUGAGACACGGUCCAGACUCCUACGGGAGGCAGCAGUGGGGAAUAUUGCACAAUGGGGGCAACCCUGAUGCAGCCAUGCCGCGUGUGUGAAGAAGGCCUUCGGGUUGUAAAGCACUUUCAGUUGUGAGGAAAGGUUAGUAGUUAAUACCUGCUAGCUGUGACGUUAACAACAGAAGAAGCACCGGCUAACUCCGUGCCAGCAGCCGCGGUAAUACGGAGGGUGCAAGCGUUAAUCGGAAUUACUGGGCGUAAAGCGCACGCAGGCGGUCUGUUAAGCUAGAUGUGAAAGCCCCGCGCUCAACGUGGGAGGGUCAUUUAGAACUG